This 329-nucleotide unclassified non-coding RNA is filed under the name soil metagenome. RNAcentral describes it as "partial contains 5.8S ribosomal RNA, internal transcribed spacer 2, and large subunit ribosomal RNA". The stretch from base 1 to 120 matches the Rfam family "5.8S ribosomal RNA", at positions 35 to 154 of the family's 154-position model. The record is from RNAcentral.
GAUGAAGAACGUAGUGUAAUGCGAUAAGUAAUGUGAAUUGCAGAAUUCAGUGAAUCAUCGAAUCUUUGAACGCACAUUGCGCCCCCUGGUAUUCCGGGGGGCAUGCCUGUCCGAGCGUCAUUACAACCCUCAAGCUCAGCUUGGUGUUGGGCCCCGCCGCCCCGGCGGGCCCUAAAGUCAGUGGCGGUGCCGUCCGGCUCCGAGCGUAGUAAUUCUUCUCGCUCUGGAGGUCCGGUCGUGUGCUCGCCAGCAACCCCCAAUUUUUUUCAGGUUGACCUCGGAUCAGGUAGGGAUACCCGCUGAACUUAAGCAUAUCAAUAAGCGGAGGA